AGAGUCAACGCACGACGGGUGGCUAGCGGGUCGAGAGAGGCCACCACCUGGUGAUAUUUCGUGUCGUCAGCCGAGAUGCCACGAAGGGCGAACUGAGCCUCCACGUGCACGAACCACGACGGGGGAUCGUGAAGCCAAAAGUCCGGCAGCUUGAGCGGCACAACAAACGCAGCUGCAGCCGGAGGCAGAGGGCUGGCGGCUGCUGAUGCAUCCAGAGCAGAGUCAGUGCCACCAUCGGACUGCAGCAUGUUCGAGUCAGGGGUCACCAAUGUGGAGGGGUGUAACAUUUGGAGGCACCGCUGGGAUCGCUGCUUAGAUGUCCGGUGUCCACAAUCUGCACAUCGUAGUCCAAGCCAGCCAAAUCCCCCCAUACAACCCAGGCAGACUGCAGUGAGGAAAGUGUUGCUGUCGAGGCGAACUGGUAGCUGUGUUUUAGCGCAUGUUUCCUGAGGCCAGCCAGAGAUCAUCAGGGGCUGCAAAA
Long non-coding RNA from Oreochromis aureus, 481 nucleotides. The record is from Ensembl. NCBI's taxonomy places the organism in Eukaryota, Metazoa, Chordata, Actinopteri, Cichliformes, Cichlidae.